AAUAGAUACCCUGGUAGUCCACGCCGUAAACGAUGAGUGCUAAGUGUUGGGGGGUUUCCGCCCCUCAGUGCUGCAGCUAACGCAUUAAGCACUCCGCCUGGGGAGUACGGUCGCAAGACUGAAACUCAAAGGAAUUGACGGGGGCCCGCACAAGCGGUGGAGCAUGUGGUUUAAUUCGAAGCAACGCGAAGAACCUUACCAGGUCUUGACAUCCCGGUGACCACUAUGGAGACAUAGUUUCCCCUUCGGGGGCAACGGUGACAGGUGGUGCAUGGUUGUCGUCAGCUCGUGUCGUGAGAUGUUGGGUUAAGUCCCGCAACGAGCGCAACCCUUAUUCUUAGUUGCCAUCAUUCAGUUGGGCACUCUAAGGAGACUGCCGGUGAUAAACCGGAGGAAGGUGGGGAUGACGUCAAAUCAUCAUGCCCCUUAUGACCUGGGCUACACACGUGCUACAAUGGACGGUACAAACAGUUGCCAACCCGCGAGGGGGAGCUAAUCCGAUAAAACCGUUCUCAGUUCGGAUUGUAGGCUGCAACUCGCCUAC
RNAcentral lists this ribosomal RNA (544 nucleotides) under uncultured bacterium. Its description in RNAcentral is "bacterial SSU rRNA". It matches the Rfam family "Bacterial small subunit ribosomal RNA", at positions 777 to 1319 of the family's 1533-position model. The record is from RNAcentral.